Molecule: ribosomal RNA, 259 nt
Filed under: uncultured prokaryote
Description: partial 16S ribosomal RNA
Rfam family: Bacterial small subunit ribosomal RNA
Source: RNAcentral
UACGGAGGAUCCGAGCGUUAUCCGGAUUUAUUGGGUUUAAAGGGUGCGCAGGCGGGAUGUUAAGUCGGCGGUGAAAUUUUGCAGCUCAACUGUAAAAGUGCCUUCGAUACUGGCUUUCUUGAGUGUGGAUGAAGUGGGAGGAAUGUGUAGUGUAGCGGUGAAAUGCAUAGAUAUUACACAGAACACCGAUUGCGAAGGCAUCUCACAAAGCCGUUAUUGACGCUGAGGCACGAAAGUGUGGGGAUCAAACAGGAUUAGA